RNAcentral lists this ribosomal RNA (406 nucleotides) under uncultured bacterium. Its description in RNAcentral is "partial 16S ribosomal RNA". It matches the Rfam family "Bacterial small subunit ribosomal RNA", at positions 509 to 916 of the family's 1533-position model. The record is from RNAcentral.
CAGCCGCCGCGGUAAUACGGAGGGUGCAAGCGUUAUCCGGAUUNACUGGGUUUAAAGGGAGCGUAGGCGGGNNUGUAAGUCCGGGGUGAAAGNCCNCAGCUUAACUGANGAACUGCNNUGGAUACUNUAUGNCUUGAAUGAUGNGGAGGUUUGCGGAAUGNGNCAUGUAGCGGUGAAAUGCUUAGAUAUGACCUAGAACACCUAUUGCGAAGGCAGCUGGCUANACNUGNCUUGACGCUGAGGCUCGAAAGCGUGGGGAUCNAACAGGAUUAGAUACCCUGGUAGUCCACGCCCUAAACGAUGAUUACUCGACGUAUGGCACUAGUUGUUGUGCGUCCAAGGGAAACCGUUAAGUAAGCCACCUGGGGAGUACGACCGCAAGGUUGAAACUCAAAGGAAUUGACGG